ACACAGUUUUCUAGUUAAUCUACUUAUGCAAUUCUGUAUUCUCCUGCCUGACCUAAUUUCAACAUGAGGACAAUGCAAUUAGAAUAAAACUGCAGCUAGAAUAAAGAAAGAACAAGUCAAGAGGUACUUAUAAAGCCCUUCUUUGUUUUGACAGGUAUUUGUGAACUUUGCCAAGGACCAAAGUGAUGAUGACCACUUAAAGGACUUGUCAUUACACAAAAACCAGACAGUAGUGGAUGUUUCAGUUCUCACAUCUUUUCUACAGGACGAGAAAGUGAAAGAAAGUUAUGUAUGAAGAAUGUCGUUCAUACUGGAUGGCUGAACAUAAGGAAGAACGAGAUCUUCCUUUACACUGUGUGAAGUGUUCCAGAGGAACAGGCUGGAAGUUUUUGUGGGAAGAAGUAAACUGGAUACUGUACUGAUACUAUUCAAUGCAAUGCAAUUCAAUGCAAUGAAAACAAAAUUCCAUUACAGGGGCAGUGCCUUUGUAGCCUAUGUCUUGUAUGGCUCUAUGUGAAAAAGACUUGAAUUUAGUUUAUUACCUUUACCUAUGUGAAACUCUAGUAUGGAACCCAGUGGACAUUUGGGUUUGAAGUCAUACUUUUUUGUUCCUGUGUAUCCUCACUGGGAUUGCAGCAACAAUUCAUCAAAUAACCAUGGCCAGUGAUUAUCAAAAUCAAAGGCGUACAUCCUCAUCCAUUAAGCCAUCCCAUUCCAGGAGACCGGUUUCCUGGUGACACAACCAUUGCUGGCAAUGAGUGUGCCAGAAUUACUAGUGCCAAGUUGCUCAGAAAGUCUGAAACACCAUAGUGUGUAACAUACACCUUUGUAAAGCUGCUCUUCUCAGAGUCUAUCAACAUCAUUAAAUAUCAGGUGACAAAAUGGUGCCAUGUACGGCUAACGUCCUUCUUUGAGUCCCUUUUUGAUGAGCUGCUUUGGUGGCUGUAAUAUGUAAAGUAUGGAUAUCUCUACACACAGGAAACUUGGUUCCAUUGUUAUGUUGCCCCAUUCUUGGGAGCCAUGGGUUUCUAGGGUCUUUCUGGGACUGUUUAAAUCUACUUAGAUCCUGGUAAGAAGCAAAGGCUCAGCAGCCAAACUGUUGGAACUGUAAGUUGCUGAAGUCAAGGCAUGGGAUUAAAGAGAUGGUGUAUUCAAACCUAGUGCCCAUUUGUCCUGAUUGCUAACACGGUACACUGCAUCUCAAAAAUUUUGUUAUUUGACACAGGUGUAGUAUUAUUUCUGGCUUUUCGAAUUAAUCUAGAAAUGAAAAGAUUGAGUUAUAUUUUGACAAAAAUCUUUGUACUAUUAUGUCAUUUGGAAUUUUCAGUUAUAUCAGUGAUUUCUGAAACCUUAGAAUGACCUCUUUUAGGACCUGUGGUAUAGAGGAGUAUGGUCACACUGCCUCACUAGCUUUAUUUUUCCUAUACAAAUUUGCAGAUAGAAUGUCUGACUAGUGCCUAGUGACUAGAAAACAACAUGGUGGUCAAGAUCUCAUGAUAUUGUUGUUGAAUUUAAAAUCACGUAGAAUACUCUUAAAUCAGUUCAUCAAUCAAGUAUUUUUUGAGUAUAUGCUAUAGCUGAAUGUGUACGUAUAGAUGGAUGGAUAGAGAGGAGAAAUUAAGAAGAGAAAUUAAGUCUCAGUAGAUUUCCCAUGCCAUGUUAUUCAGCUAACUGGUUUACAAAAGAUAGGUUGUUUUAUUGUGAUUAUGGAAGCCCACUUAAAGAAUAUUGGCUAGACUUUUUUUUUCUUUUAAUAGCAACAGUGCAAAAGCCAGAAAAGGUCGCAAGGCUGAACAAUGGAUUCUUUCAAAGAGAAAUCAGCUAGCUUGGGAACUUGUUGAAUACAACUUGUACUUAUGACAUUUAGUACCUCCACAUAAUUGGUUCUGCAGAAAUGUUAGACACCCCAUUAAAUCUCUGACAAUCUCAAAUUUUGCAUCUCUUUAAUCAUUAAACUAUCCUGAAAAAAAUAAAAACAGCAAAUGCUUCCACAAAGAAUAGUUUUCAGACUUAAUCUUAUUUUAAUUUUUAAAUUAAAAAUAUUAUUUCACUAAUGCUCAGUGUCAUCUUUCUUGAGACAAAACAAAAAUAUGAGGGAAUUGCUAUUUGGCAAAGUUCAAGUGAACUUUCAAUAUCAUCAUUAAUUUAUUUUAACUAUUUCUAAAAUUUAAAUAUUAACUCUAAAGGUAUACAAUUUCAGAUAUAUUUCAAAUGUGUAUGUAUAUAUAUGUGAAUAUAUAUACAUAUAUAUUUAGAUUCAUAGACUGUUAAGUAACUCCUUGCUUUAAAAGAAAAAUGAUUUUCAAAAAAUUAAUGUCAUUAUUUUCUAAAAUGAUAAAGCAUAUUUUCAAUAACUGUUAGCAUGAGAUUACUACAUUCAUGACAUUUUCAAAGAUAUAAGAAUAAUUUAGUUUUUAAGAAUAAUUUAGUUUUUAAGAAUAAUUUAGUUUCUCAUUAAUUUUAAAAAUAAAAUAAAAAUCUGGUGGUUUUCUCAUUUCACCAUGAAUCACUCUCAUUCAUGAUAUUAAAUCCAUGAGUGACUCUUUGCUUCUAAUUACUCUGACUUCAAGGUCACAUUUUAAAACUUCAAAGGCACUGUGAACUAUUUUGAGAAAAAAAAAUUAAAUGUAGAUUUAAAAGAGUCUUUCUGAAGCUAGAAAUAAUAUACAGUUCUACAUUAACUUCAUUGUUAUUGUGUUACCUUUUAGACUAUCCAAAUAGUAAUCUUAAAGUUCCCUGUGUAAACUUAAUUAUGGUAGAAAUUUUUACCAACUCUAUCCUUAGAUAAAAUUUCUGUAUAUUAACUGUGGAAAUGUAACUAUGUGAGUUUCAUAAAUUCUCAAAAAGUGUUCAAAGAUUUCUGCUCUUGCAUCUUUUGGAUACCUUGGAAAACUUACUAACUGUGAAUAUAAAAAAUACAAAAGAAAAUAACAAGUCCUCUCUAUAUAAAUACCCAGCACUAUUCAUUGUUAUAAAACAAACAACCAAACCUCAACUACUGUAUUUUGAUAUCUGUACUGAAAGCAUUUCUUUGUGACUAUUAAAUGUUGCACAUCAUUCAUUCACUGUAUAGUAAUCAUUGACUAAAGGGAUUUGUCUAUGUUUUCUUCUCAUGGUUGUAUAUAUCAGGUAAAAUUUUUUCCAAAGAGCCAUGUGUUAUGUAAUAAUGAACCACUUUGAUACUGAGAUAUUAAUUUGUAUUUACUAGUAAUAAUGUAAUACCAUAGUUAAUACUGCUCUAAUUCUUUUCAAAAUUGUUGCAUCCCUUUUUAUAGAAUGUUUAUAUUUCCAUAAGGAUUAGGUAUGCUAUUAUUCCUUCUUAUACCCUUGGGUAAAGCUGUUUUUGUGCUUUUUCUUUAUCAUUGGCCCUUCAUUCCAAGCACUUUAUGCUAUCUGUAAUGGAUCUAUUUUUGCACUGGAAUAUCUGAGAAUUGCAAAACUAGACAAAAGUUUCACAAUAGAUUUCUAAGUUAAAUCAUUUUCAUUAAAAGGAAAAAAAAAACAAAAAAAUUUGUAUUGUCAAUAACUUUAUAUGAUGUAUUAAAAAGGCUUAUUUCUAUGUUGUAUUGAGUCACGAAAUAAACCUGUG
This 3589-nucleotide long non-coding RNA is filed under the name Marmota monax (woodchuck). The record is from RNAcentral. Lineage: Eukaryota; Metazoa; Chordata; Mammalia; Rodentia; Sciuridae.